UUAUUUAAUUAUAAAUGUAUAAUUAAUAAGGAAUAAAAAUAAGCGUCAAAAUUAAAGUUUGAGAUAAUUACGAUAUCUUUACAUAAAGUUUUAGUGGUCGAAACAAGGAUUCCGAGGAUNGAAUAAAUAAUCUUAACCAAGUUGUAGAAUACGUCUCAAGGGUUUUGUACAUAUAAAGAACACCGAAAUCCGAGUUAUAACGAAGAAGUUAUGGUCCGCCGAAGUUUUACGGCAAAACCGGUACGACACCGGGAGACGUAAAUAGUGAAUUUACGAUGGAGGACUUUUUAGCCUUAGUGAUCCAAACGAAAGUAGUAGAAUAUGUUAAACCGAGAAAAUCCAUAAAAAGAACGCCCAAAUCUGACUUCGUAUGAAAAAGUUAUGAUUUUUCUAAGAUUCGACUUAGCAGUGCACGACCCGAAACUCGAAUUUU
This 433-nucleotide long non-coding RNA is filed under the name Lactuca sativa (garden lettuce). Its description in RNAcentral is "long non-coding RNA (LSAT_LNC001734)". The record is from RNAcentral. Lineage: Eukaryota; Viridiplantae; Streptophyta; Magnoliopsida; Asterales; Asteraceae.